UCCUACGGGGGGCAGCAGUGAGGAAUAUUGGUCAAUGGACGAGAGUCUGAACCAGCCAAGUAGCGUGAAGGAUGACUGCCCUAUGGGUUGUAAACUUCUUUUAUAUGGGAAUAAAAUGAGCCACGUGUGGCUUUUUGUAUGUACCAUACGAAUAAGGAUCGGCUAACUCCGUGCCAGCAGCCGCGGUAAUACGGAGGAUCCGAGCGUUAUCCGGAUUUAUUGGGUUUAAAGGGAGCGUAGGCGGAUUAUUAAGUCAGUUGUGAAAGUUUGCGGCUCAACCGUAAAAUUGCAGUUGAUACUGGUAG
This 305-nucleotide ribosomal RNA is filed under the name uncultured bacterium. Its description in RNAcentral is "bacterial SSU rRNA". It matches the Rfam family "Bacterial small subunit ribosomal RNA", at positions 337 to 639 of the family's 1533-position model. The record is from RNAcentral.